Molecule: long non-coding RNA, 1796 nt
Organism: Macadamia integrifolia
Lineage: Eukaryota; Viridiplantae; Streptophyta; Magnoliopsida; Proteales; Proteaceae
Exons: 4
Source: RefSeq, a predicted model, not a curated record
GAGCUGCAAGACAUUUAAGAGAUCACAUCUGAUUCGCAUUUGUAUCUGAUCACAUCAGAUUCGUAUUCUAUCUUUAUUUGAUCUGUUUACAUCUCUAUUUUUCUGUUGUGAUCGAGCUAGGUUACAACUGACAAAUUUUCCAUGAAUUUCCAUUUGUUGAAGUUAAGACAAAAAAUGAAAAUUUUAUCACAAUAUUCAUUGUUGAUAUUGGCAUUCUUGUUAAAGACAAAACAUCUAUAGGCUGCAAUAAGGAUUUUUCCAAUUUAAGUGUAACCUACUGCAGGUUACAAUCGACCAUUUUUCCAUGCCAUUCUUCCAGGAAAACGAAGUUUCAAAUAUAUAAAUUAAAAAAAUGAAUAAAUAAAAAAUUUUGUAUUAUUUUUAUUAUUAAGGUGUAAAAGGAAUUGCAUCUCCCAGGAUCCAUCUAGUAUAGUUGGAAAUUCAAAUUUUUAAUCGGGUUACUCGUCCAAGUCAAGUAACAAAAACAUGAAAUCUUAUCAAGAGUCGUGAAGACUCACCGAAGUUUAAGAAAUAAAUAAAUAGAUCAAGCUUGAGUCGGUCUGGGAUUUUAUCAAUUUAGUAUUUUUACCUGAGUCAUGUGAAACUAAUCGAGUCUGUUUUAUUUUUACUUGACCAAGGUUGAGUUAGACAAUUAUCUUACUAUAGGCCAACCAUGGUAGGAUUAACCGUUAUUGGUAGGGUUAACCGUUACAAGAUCGGCCAUCUUUGCCUGGAUAAUGAUCGGCCUAUCAAUGGCAAGCAGGUCCACAUCAGUAAGGAAAUCAACUAACUAGCCAAUAGGAGAAACCACCUACCUCUAUAUAAAGAACACUUAAUAGAUUUUUAGGGUAAGACUCUCAAAACUCUACCAACCUUUCCUUUCUUACUCAUAUGGGAAUUGACUUAGGUAUCGGAGCCUCUAUCCUGGAAUCCCCUCCAAGUUGGUUUCUAAUGUGUGUGUUGCAGUUCUGAGCUAAGUAAGAAUCUACAACCAAAAAGACCAUUAAAGCAACAUCUAUGCUUGCGAAUGAGAGAACCCUAAGCAGAAAGCCACAUUCUCUCUCUCUCCCAAUGUUUAAAUGAGGCCCCCAUUGGUAAACUCAGGUCCAGCCAGAGGAAGCACAGAUCCCAAGAGUGGGUUUGGCAUCUCGGUGCUAUAAGAUAGUUCCACAUCGUUAAGCCAUAAAUAUUUUGCCCACUUCAUGAAAUAAGAGUUCGAUAGGCGUGCUGUCUCUUCGGAGACAUCCGAUAAAAUUGGAACGAUACAGAGAAGAUUAGCAUGGCCCCUGCGCAAGGAUGACACGCACAAAUCGAGAAAUGAUUGAACUUUAAACGAUUCAGUCUCUCUUGCGUUCGGCCCCCCCACACACAGGCACGUAGUUGUGGAGCUUGAUAGCAUCUGAAUAUGGAAAUCCAACUAUGGAAGAUGAAGUAUUUGAUGUAGCCUUGUUCAAGAAUGAGGGAGGAAACCCUUUUGAAGGAGGCGCCAGGGCUAUUAUGUUUGGAGCGCAGCUUGCGGAAAGGAAAGGAGCGCGUCUAAAAGAAAUAUGGACAAAUUCAGAGUUCGACCAGCAACUCUCUUUUGACUUGGGAAACCAUUUUUUUGGCCUCUAAAUAUGGCACCCAUUUUUUUGAAUGUAUAUAGAUCAAUGAAUGGUGUAACAUGUAGAUUGCUACCACAGUCAGAUCAGGAAUCACUUUUUGCAUUUAUCGCAGAAGAAACCCUAGCAAACGGUAGAAUUACCACUGCUAACUUUGUAAAUGCUUCUACUACUUAUUGGUUCAGUUUUUCUCGU